This 183-nucleotide small nuclear RNA is filed under the name Zea mays. Its description in RNAcentral is "U2 spliceosomal RNA". It matches the Rfam family "U2 spliceosomal RNA". Rfam says of the family: U2 is a small nuclear RNA (snRNA) component of the spliceosome (involved in pre-mRNA splicing). Complementary binding between U2 snRNA (in an area lying towards the 5' end but 3' to hairpin I) and the branchpoint sequence (BPS) of the intron results the bulging out of an unpaired adenosine, on the BPS, which initiates a nucleophilic attack at the intronic 5' splice site, thus starting the first of two transesterification reactions that mediate splicing. The record is from Rfam by way of RNAcentral. Lineage: Eukaryota; Viridiplantae; Streptophyta; Magnoliopsida; Poales; Poaceae.
AUAUCUUUCUCGGUCUUUAGCUAAAAUUAAGUAUAGUAUCUAUUCUUAUCAGUUUAAUAUCUAAUAUAUAAGUCAUGUAUUCACUUUAAUAUUAGAUUUAUUUUUUGUGGAAAGAGUCUAUUACAGUAGCUGCUAGGGCCCUUGAGUGCUUUUGCUCUAUUGGCUAAGCUUGGUGCACCCCAA